ACAAAACCAUGAAAAAUAAUCUGAAUUGAAAAAGAAAGAAUGGAUGAAGAAUGACACCUGAUAGCUUCUUCCUCACACACUGGACUUUUGAAGAUAUAUUUACAUUUUAUCCGAAUAUUAGAGGAGGCAGAGCACUUAUUUUGCACCCUAAUUUUGAUCAUUCAGUCUUUGUCCCCUGGUCAACACAUUUAAACCAUUUUGAGCCUGUGACUGUCCUUUGUGCAAAAUAUUUGGGGAAUAUGAAGCCCUCAGUUUCACCAACCUUUUGUUGAAUUUUAAGGAACUUUUCUUUCUAUUAGGCCAUCAUUUACUGCAGUUAUUAAUAGUAGUCUGUUUGCAGGAGUGUGUCCCAUUCAUUUUAAAAUUGCUGUUCUGCAACCCAUCCAUCCAUCCAUUUUCUGAGCUGCUUAUCCUCAUAAGGGUCACGGGAGUACUGGAGCCUAUCCCAGCGCUAAUCGGGCAGGAGGUGGGUUACACUCUCAACUGGCUGCCAGCCAAUCACAGGGCAUAUGGAGACAGACAACAGUCACAGUCAAAAUCACACCUAAGGGCAAUUUAGAGUCUACAUUUAAUGGAAGUUUUUGGGAUGUGGGAGAAAACUGGAGUGCAUGGAGAAAAUCCACGCAGGCACAGGGAGAACAUGUAAACUCCACACAGGCGGGAGUGGGAACUGAACCCCGGUCUUCAGAACUGUGAGGCCAACAUUCUUACCAGUUGCAACACCAUUCGCACUGUUAUCCAACCUUUGAUUUAAAAAAAGAAAAAAAACUGGGCCGGAUCCCACUGUUUUGGCAAAUUUCAGGCCGAUCAAAUAACUGCCUUUCCUCUGAACAAUAUUUGAAAAGAUUUUGCAUAGCCAGGUUGUGGAGUCGGUGAAAUAUUUAAUAAUUAUGUCUUUCCCCCAUUACUUUUUUAAGGUGUUUUAAUUGCAAUCUACAGCACUUUGGAAACGUUGUUUUUGUUUAAAUUUUGCUAUAUAAAUAAAGUGGAUUUGAUUGGAUAGGAGACAUGUUAUGGAAAGUUGGCUUUUUAUUUCCUGUAAACAUAUAGAUGGGACUUUGGAGUACCUGCCCACAUCUAAAAUGUCAAAUUAAACAAUCAUGUAAAUCCUUUGUGAUCUGCCUACACCUACCCACACAGGAAACUGCAAUAGAUCUUUGAAUAAGCACUCACUUUUUCAUAGUAGCUGCAUACUCUCUUCCCACCUGCCUAGCUCCUGUGGUAAUGUUAAUAAACACAUAUUUGACAAUGCCCCUACAAUACAGGAAGGUGGAGUGUGCAUUGGCUAAUUUGCAUGAAAGAGAAACAACUCUACCGAAAUCUAGUCAUUUUAACCAGGUAAGUGGAUUUCAGUGAACUGUAAUUCUUCAUCCUUUAUGUAUUUUUAAGUGAAGAAUGUCCUUUUAUUAGGGCACAUGGAAACUUUUUUAAUUUGCUCCUCCCAAUAUAUCUCCUUUAACAUGUCAUCUUUACUGGAGCAACAUUUUAUAUUCAACACUGGAUUCCAAAUGAGACAGCCCCUGUUGUUCACAUUAACACAGCAAAACAGACACAAAUGUGCAAGAAAAAGAUGCAAUAACAGAGGGGUCAUGAGGAAAAGAGUCAAGCAGAUUCACACAGAAUAACAUGAGCUGGUUUAAUGAUGGUGCCCCACCCCUCUUUGCAAAUCUAUGUCAACAGUUUGCACUCCACAACACAGCACAGCAGAGGCAACACCAACCACCACAAUUCAUUCAUUCAUUUACUUAUUUACUUAUUUAUUUUGCAGUGGGAGUGCUAGUGAAGACCAAACUUAACUUAACUUACCACUGGGUGCCUGUCACCCACCAUCAUUACACUUCAGUACAACAUCAUCACAUUGCUGAGGUUAGACUUUCCAGAAGGAGCGAGCAGGGAGAUGGUGGGGAAAAAGUGGGAGAAGAUUUUCACACUUGACAAAACAUUUGCUGAUGGCUUGGGAAGCUGCACCGUCCUAAAUGCUCCAACAGCAACAACUUUGAAGAAUGUUACUUUGAAUAUUUAUGUGGCAACUUAACGGUUAAUACUAGAGAGAGCGAGAGAGAAAGAGACAGAAAGAGCGAGAGAGAGCGAGAGAGAGAGAGAGAGAGAGAGAGAGGGAGAGAGAGAGAGAGAGAGAGAGAGAGAGAGAGAGAGAGAGAGAGAGAGAGAGAGAGAGAGAGAGAGAGAGAGAGAGAGAGAGAACGCUUGAUCUGUGUGUUUAUAUGGACAAUUGACCUUUUGCUAAGCUACACCAUGUAAAUGCAGAUUUUCCAGUAACAAUGCAACACAAAAUACCGGUAGAGGUAGGCAAUGGAGUUUUAUUAUCAGUAAAUUAAUGUUUUUUGUUGUUGUUGUUGUCAGUGCAUUAACCAAACUGCUAACAUUAUGCUACUAACGUGAGACCUCGUGAUGACACGUGGUGCAAGGUGGCUAAGGUCAUUAGUAUGGUGCUCCUGGAUGCAAUGUUUCAAUAGGCUUAUUACUUUUUGCGUUUACAUAAUUGUAAUACGAAGAGCAGUUAAUCUGAGAUUUAUGGUUGAAAUCUACGGUAACUCCAGUCUCCUUGUGUGGAGUUUUCUUGUUCUGCGUGACCUGCGUGGGCUUUUUCCCAGUCUUUUAAAAACAAGUGAGGUUCACCAAAGACUAUAUUGUACACAGUGUAGGUCUGAAUAUGCGUGUGAAUGUUAUUUGUCAAUGUGCGCCCUGCAAAUGAAUGUGGUGGAAAAGCCUAGAUGAACAUCCCACAAAUCAGUCAGUGUCUCUGAAGACUAAAUCAUGACAAGAUGUGUGGAAUAAAAUGGAACUAAAUGCUCUGCCAGAGGUUCAAAAUGUACACUAACUACUACGAUUGUUAAAAAGUGAUGCAUGGGGGUGACUUGCGGCAAUUCACCAUGCACUUUAAAGCCUUUCAAACUGGUUAUCUUACUUUAGUUUGCUAGUCGCUCACAAUGGUACCAGAGUACGAAAAGGGGAAACUGUUGCAAACAAGGAGGAGAACCAAAGACAACUAGUGGAAGGUUCUGAUGUGGGUGAUACGGGCAUCUGCCUAGGGUGGCAUGUUGAUGACUCAUUCAGAUAACUCACUGAUAACUUUGGAUGAGAGAUGCAGUAUAGUACAGUACACAGUUACACAGUAACCCUAACCCUAAUUGCAAAGACACAUAUAGUAAGCAAACAAAUAAUCAAACUCAUAUUCAGACAUAUGGACAAUUUAGUCUUCAAUUAACCUCCUGUGGAUAUUUUUGGGAAUGUGGGAGGGAACCUGAUUAUCUGGAGAAUGGUUGAUAAAAAUAAUCCUAGUUUACUUUUGUUUGUUUGAUAGUUCAAUUUAAAACCUUUAUGAAUUUUCAUUGACUAAAACUGGACUAAAAUUAUUAUUAUUUAGAAAUGACUAAAAUGUUACUGAGACUAAAAAGCAUUGUUUUUAAAAAAAAAAAAUCACAAUGGUACCUCUGCUGUCACUUUGAUAAGAUGAAUGUAGCCUUCUAAGGCUAUAUCCACAUCUAUACAUACCCAUCUUGAAUAUAAUUUUGACAAAAAUGGGAUUAAAUUUCUCAGACGUCAAAAGAAUCCUGUUGAAAGUGCGAUGGAUUUAGCGACAGCAACUAAGAGUGUAGCUGUUAGCAAAAGGUCAAUGAUAAUUGUGAGAUCUUAACCCUUAUGGUUGCCAUUGUGUUUCACUCUGCAUGGUAGUCAUUGACAGGAGUCCAUUCACAGGUUUUAGGUGAGGUGUUGGACACUGUGGAGAAGCAUUUUUGUUCAAGAAGAAGGACGGAAGUCAGAGAAGUUUUUAUACUUUUCAAGUGCCUCCUUAUAGAUUGUUAUAAUUCUGGAAAAAAAUGUCAUCUCUAUCUGAAAAAAAUCACUCACCAAUAUCCAUCUCACAAAGUUUAAGUGCUUAUGAAAUUAAUGAUGGAUAUUCUCUUUUCUGGUCCUUCAAACUUGACACAAGACACAAGGAAUAAGGAAAGAGGACAUUGGAAGCCUAAUAUCAACAACAAAAACAUCUUACAAGUCAGAGACAAGCCAAAACACAAUUCUUUGAAACAUCCCACAGCUCUGAGUGGUACUUAAAUAUGGCUCCAAUCAAUAAGUGUGUUAGUAAAUGUCUCAUCCAAUUAUUUCCUCAAAUCAUAUUUCAAAAUGUUGGAUCAGGCAAGAAAUUUGGUCCUGAAGUUAUUUUUGUCACACAUACAGUACAGAAGCCUCUCAGAGAAGGAAACCAAGCAUAAAAGCUUGAUUGAUUGGGAAGUAAAAGAAAGGCAUGUGUCCAUUUCAUAUGGACAGAUGCACAAUGUGUACUCUAUAUCACACUUAUGCAGUAGCAUACUGUGUAGAUGACAAUUAGAAGCUAAAUAGACGAGAUACUAACUUAAGUAUCAUUUCAUUAACAAUGUAACCUCUCCCAAUUGACAAUAGAAAGCAAAAUCAUCAGAUUUUAUGCCUAUCUCCUCAGCACAAAGUAUAUUCAUAUAUUCUAUUUUUAAUAUCCCAAAAUAUAGCUCAAUUGUCUAUAUGUAUGAUGAACGCAAGUAGUAAAAGUAUGAAGUAGGUGUUCAUAUUAUUUACAUGUAUUAAUUUUAUUGUUUGAAUACUGCAAUUUUGUCUUAACCAAGGUGUGGUUGCAGGACUGACUAACCCCUCUCACAGAAAAAGAAAUGCACUUACAUCCACAAUGAAGAAGUCCAGCCAACACCAAGCAUUGGUGAAGUACUUGACAAAGCCACAUCCUCAAAUGCCUUUGGGAGAAAGAGGAAACAAAUAUGUCACAUGCAAGCAUUAUUUAUAAUGUGAAAUGUGUCCGGCACCAUGGCCAGCCAUGAUUAACAUGGAGAAUUAAUUGCUGUGCUGUAUGGCUCCACUGCUGAGGAGGAUCAUAAAGAUGAUGAGAGUCUCAAACCAGUUGUGCUCCACGAUCAGGUAGCAGGUCUUCCUCAGGAACCACCAGCUCUUCCCCCACCCCAUGGUGAUGUCAACAUCGCAGCACUUAUAC
This is a long non-coding RNA of Syngnathoides biaculeatus (alligator pipefish), 4993 nucleotides long. RefSeq lists it as uncharacterized. NCBI's taxonomy places the organism in Eukaryota, Metazoa, Chordata, Actinopteri, Syngnathiformes, Syngnathidae. The transcript is spliced from 3 exons. The record is from RefSeq and is a predicted model, not a curated record.